Molecule: long non-coding RNA, 650 nt
Organism: Dermacentor silvarum
Lineage: Eukaryota; Metazoa; Arthropoda; Arachnida; Ixodida; Ixodidae
Exons: 3
Source: RefSeq, a predicted model, not a curated record
UUAAACUGACACUUACCACCUAGCCUUCGCCAACGCGCGACUUGAGUCUAUUUCUCCCUUUCCCAAGUGCAAUCUCUCUGUUCUUACCGGUAUUAUUUCCCUUCGGUGCUCAUUUAUUAAGGCGCUGCUGAGCACAGUGCCAGAAAAUCUCUUUAUCGGCGUUCAAGUGUCCAGCAAUUCUGCUGUAGGCGCAGUAUUCUUCUUUCCUAUAAUAUCGGCGCAGUGACCGAGAAGAACAAUUGCAUGUCGAUCUGUCGGUCCGUGGUUCAAAUCAAACAGCGAUUUGUUUACGAAAUUCUUGCAAAUUCUUUUACGAUUCCUGCUGCGGACACGGGCGACGGUAGUGGACUACAGGGACAGCGGUUAAGUUUAAGGGGAAAAAUUGCUCAGUAUAACAGAGACUGACUUACAGAAGGAGGCAUGAUUUACUUUGCAAUUGCGUUAUUUCUUGCCUUCGUUUCUGCUCACCAAACACAACAUGCUCCGCUUAUUCAAGAAGAGUACCCCGGCUGCUUUAGAAAACCUGUGUUUGUUAACACAAGUCACUGCAUUGUGAGUAAAAGUGUCCAGCUGCCAGAUGGUGGAAGUGCAACAUUUCACCGACCCUGCAUCAAGCUGACAUGCAAUGUCACCGCAAAACAACUGACCGA